RNAcentral lists this ribosomal RNA (253 nucleotides) under uncultured bacterium. RNAcentral's name for it is "partial 16S ribosomal RNA". It matches the Rfam family "Bacterial small subunit ribosomal RNA", at positions 524 to 776 of the family's 1533-position model. The record is from RNAcentral.
UACGUAGGUGGCAAGCGUUGUCCGGCUUUAUUGGGUUUAAAGGGUGCGUAGGCGGCCCUGUAAGUCAGUGCUGAAAUAUCCCGGCUUAACCGGGAGGGUGGCAUUGAUACUGCGGGGCUAGAGUACAGAUGAGGUAGGCGGAAUUGACGGUGUAGCGGUGAAAUGCUUAGAUAUCGUCAAGAACACCUAUAGCGAAGGCAGCUUACUAGGCUGUAACUGACGCUGAGGCACGAAAGUGUGGGGAUCAAACAGG